Mus musculus (house mouse) is the source of this 4863-nucleotide long non-coding RNA. RefSeq annotates it as predicted gene, 42059. The record is from RefSeq and is a predicted model, not a curated record. The transcript has 2 exons. NCBI's taxonomy places the organism in Eukaryota, Metazoa, Chordata, Mammalia, Rodentia, Muridae.
UUCCCUGGGUACAUGGAAAGGCCAUGAGUGGCUCACAAGUCAAUUGGCUAGGUGUACAUCCUCACCUGGGUCCCUGCACAGAGGCUCUAAAGGAGUUUAUUCUGCACUCCCAGCGGUAAGUUGGACUCCCUGAGUCCCUCCUAGGUGAAGCCUCUUUGCUUCUAUCUGUAUCUGCUUCUAUCCCUGGCCCACCCUGAAGUUUACUCUCCAGCCUACCACAGGACUGACCACCUUUCCAUCUUCUGAAACCUUUGAUGUCUUUCACCUUGUCCUCUAAGGCCAGAGCCAGUUUCGCUGACUGAUGGUCAGGAAUCUCUUCUCCGUGUCAUGCACUCCGUCUUCCCUGACUUUCUGCUCCACAGGCCACUCCCCGAGUCCUCCUCUCCUUCCCUCAUCCGCUCAUCCUCCAGCCUGUCCCAGCCCUUCCCUGCCAGACCAUAAUUCCUCCGUUCCUUCUUUAAUCUCUGCUCUCCUCAGUUCACGCCCCACAGAGGCACUCUGGGGACAGGGACACUUGCCUGUGAUCUCAGUGCUCAGGAAGCUGAGGUAGAAGAUUACUUCAAUGCCAGUCUGGGCUACAGUGUGAGAUCCUAUCUCAAACAGUGGCUGGGCCAGCCAUGGAGUGUGCUCCUGUAACUCCUGCACUCCAAGGCUGUGGAGGCUGGAGCCACCCCAGAGCCUUACCUGUGAAGAAGAUGUAGUCGAACUUGUGUUCCAGCAGCUGCCCGGUCUCCUGACGCCCACCCAGUACCACAGUAAAGCAGCUCUGUGGGGGCGGGGGCAGGCAAAGGUCCUCAGACCCAGCUUCUGAGUCCACCCUGCCUGGAGCCCACCCACUUUGCCUCUUCACCCAGGCAUAGACAAUCCUUCCUGAGAACUUCCUGGGGCAGGGAAUGGCUGAACACUAGACCAAGAGAUAAAAUGAUGCUGGGACCAGCUAUGGGAGGGAUAUCAGGGGACAGACUACACAGGCUAGAUCCUAGAAGGGGAGCUGGGGGUGAGAGAAGGUGAUGGAGCUGAUGCAGAAGAGCCCCGCUAGCCAAGUAUAGAACUCGACUAUUUCUGCUUACCUGGUCCAGAUAGCGGGGCAGGACCUCAGCCAGUAUCUUUUCAGUGGCCUUGCUGAUCUCUGAGGGCUUGAGCACCACACAAUUCCCUGCGGUCAGCACAGGGAAUGUAGGAGAAGGCAGCCAUGCAGGGUGUGUGUCCACACCCACCCUCAGAUGAAGAAUCAUAAGUGGUGGACAAGGCCACCUAGGAGCAGGGUGCCAGUCCCCCUUCCCGUCUUCCCUUUCUGGGUUCCUAGGUAGCCCUGAGCUCUCCAGUGUGUAGGGCUGUGGGAAGGUGAAGGUCUCCUCACCUGCAGCUAUGGCCCCCACCAGCGGCACGAGUGUCAGGUUAAUGGGAUAAUUCCAGGGCACGAUGAUAAGCACCAGACCGAAGGGCUCCUUCCGGAUGAAGGCUGAGUCCAGCUGUGUAGCCUGGGUCAGGGGUGAGCAGUGAGGCUCUGUGGAGCCUCACUAUGGGAACAAGGAGUUCCCAAAGCCCACCUACCACCCUGCCACGCCCCCUCCUCCAAUUCACCAGAUUCUUGGACACUUUCUCAUCCUUCAUCCAAGACCGCAGGUUCCUGAGGGCCAGGUCCACCUCGGCCUGACUGAUGGCAAUCUCAGACACCUCGGCCUCGAAGGCUGACUACAGAAAGGAAUGAGAGUCAGGGCCGAAUUGGGCCGGUAUCACUUCCUUCCUGUAGGUCCUGCAUCUCUUUAUCCUUUCAUUCAUUCACUCAUUCAUUUAUUCAUUCACCCACUCCUGGGAGCCAUGGGCACCUGGAGGCAGACUAUAUAGUGGGAAGAGAUCCUAGCAGGCACAGAGGCCCUGGUGGCUGGUGAGGGCUUUCUCUGCUUCUGCAUAGCCCGGGAUACAGAGCAUGGGGCACAAGGCACGAUUAUCCUCGUCUUAUUCCCUACAGCCCAGGGGGUACCAAGUGCCCUGGUAGCAGAAGAUCAAGGUCUGGAGUGCCAGGCAAGACUGUACAAGGGAACACUCAGCCGGGCAAUGGUGGCGCACGCCUUUAAUCCCAGCACUUGGGAGGCAGAGGCAGGCAGACUUCUGAGUUCAAGGCCAGCCUGGUCAACAGAGUGAGUUCCAGGACAGCCAGAGCUAUAUAGCCCAGAGAAACCCUGUUUCGUAAAACAAAAACAACAACAACAACAAAAAGGGAAUACUCCACGCAAAGCCUGGUGGGUGUCUUGUGCAACCUAAUACCACCAUGAGUCCUAGUAGCUGAGCCUAGUUUCAGCCAUACACAGCUCAUAGCAAGCCUGGCAGCUCCUGAGGACCCUAGGGAGGUUUGGAUGGGCUUAGAAAUCAGUCUACACCUAGGGGGCAUAGGGACCUCAAGAGAGUAGGGUACUAUGAAUGAGGCUCUUCCUUGGGCCCUGCUUUUCCUGGCUGUGUGUCUUUGGGCAAGAAACUGAGUUCUCUGAUCCCUCCUCUAGGGUUAACUGUCUGUGACUGCCCAGCAGGAGGAGUGCUAGGGGGAGGAUGAGGGGAUGGCCACAGCACUGGACAAAUGCUGUCUGGCCUGCCAAGGGUGGAGACAGUGAGUCGUCUGACUGGAUCAGGGGGAGGUACCCAGGUGAAUUUUCUGGGCUGCUGCAUCCUUUGUAAGGUCCAGGUUGCUGGAGUCGGAUGAGAAAGCAGAGGUGGAACCUGAGCUAAAGGGGGAAAGGUCGGGUCCUCUGAGUGCUGGGCGGGGCUGGUGAGAAGCAGCCGGAGUCAGUCCCAGGAGUCCAGGACUGGGGUUGAGGAGUGUCUCCAAGGUAACCUCAGGGGAUAUAGGGAAGUGGAACUCCCUGGGGCAACCCCUUGGACAGCCAACUUAGGACUGGAGGGACCGUGUAUGGCUGCUGCUGGGACUGGGAGGGAGCCACAGGGCCUGCAGAUUACAGAGGCUGUGAUGGCUACAGUGCCAAGUGACAGCCAAAUCCUCCAGGGCGUGGCCCACUUCCUCAGGCCUUGUUUCUGUCUCUCUCUGUCUUUCUUACUCUCCCCCAGCCACUCUGGCUUCUGUAGCUCCUCAGUUACAGACACACCAAGCUCUCCUGCCUCGGGACCUUUGCAUAUGCUGCUGGGCCACUUCCUCCAAUGUCCAUGCAGCUCAUUCUUUCUCCCACUUCCUGUCUGUUCCGAGCCACUCCUCCCUUCUUAGAAAAGCCUUCUUUGACCUCCACGUACAAACCAGUUUCUUAGGCUGUCCCCCCCCCCAACACUGGAGUGUGUACACCUUGCAUGUUACCAGGCAGCACGCAUGCACAGCAUCCCCUGUAAAGGUCAGCUCUGUAGACACAGGGGCUUUGCUUUGCCUUUUCUCUCCAGACCCUAGACUGACCAGGACCAAGCACAUGCCAAGUUUUCCAUAAGCAGCUACAGAGUAGACGACAGAGGACAGCUGGAGGGGUCAAACAGUCCGCGGUGUCUUACAAAAGGAGCUGCGGUCCCCUGGGCUUUCAGCUCCUCUUCCUGGAGGAUGUGCCUAAACCGUGCUCCUUAUCCCAGUUGUACCACCCUUGCUGACCUCGGGGCACACACACCCCUACCCCACUGUCCCUGUUCCAUGCCACCUUGUGCAGGUCUUGGGCCAACGCCUCCUGCAGCUGUUGUUUGUUGUCUCGGAGGAAGUGGCUCAGGCCUUGCAGCUGUGCCGCUCGGAACUCAGCUGACCUCGUCCGCCCCUCCUUGAAGGCCUCCCGCAGCUGCUGAAGCUUGUCUUCAAACGAGUCCAUCCUGCAGGACAGUGCAGGGUGAAUCAGGUGGCUGGGGCUGCCCUCACUUUUGUGACAGUGUUCACCCCCUGCCCCUUCCCAGUGGCUCAGAGCCUUCCCAGGGUCUCUCUUGGAUAACUCCAGUGGUGACAAGAGUAGCCAUUGAUUGAUACACAGCCAGACAUGAGACAUGUCUCCUUCUUCCAGAUGGACUUACAGGAAGCUACAGGACAGAGUAUGGGCUUGGGGACAGCUGUUCAGCAGCCUUGAAGGCUGGCCCGGUGAGCCAGUGAAGAUUAGCUCUGACCCAAGGCCCUCCUGCUCUAGUGACCUCCCAGGAGCUACUUUCCACUGCCUGGCCUGGGUAGAGUGGACAGGAAUGGCUACGGUGAGGGAUACGGCUGCAACCACCGCAGUUCAGGAGCACUACACAAGAGGAGCCCGCUGAGUGGAGACGGUUCUGCGGCCUUGGCUGACCUUGGGCAGAGGAGUUACUAGUGACGACACUCUUGUGUCUCCUUGGCACAAAGGGGAGAAUGCCUUGGGCUUCCCAGAGGCCCUCCUGCCCACCUCAGCCACGUUGCCAGCUAGAACACAAGAGAAAGUGACCACUGAGGAGAAGGGCUAGGUGGGGUGAUAGAGGCUCAGUCACCAGCCAGGACUGGUAGACAGGGAGGGGGCUGGAUACUCCCCUGGGCUCAUCAGAAGAGCCCUGUGACGAAGUCACUCCUAGACUUGGUGCCUAGGACCGUUGGGGCCCCUUUCUUUCCUCAUUUCCUCUCUGAUUUCAGCACUCAGUGUAACUGAAGCCUCUUCCUCCAGGAAGCCCACUCUGAUGCCCCUUUAUCUGUUCACAGCGGCCCCUCGGCUCCGCUUGGCUUUGUACCGUGUGGCAGCAUAGGAUGGAAGCCCAGUUACCCUGUGCUCACCUCCUUUUAUUGUUCCCUCCCGCUGGACCAGGAGGCCAACCCCACUUUGCCUAUUUAACUCAUAUCUUGGGGCUGAGUGCCCCAAACUUCCCCAGCUGCUGGAGGAGUUGGGAUUUGUCGUCAUUAUUGUUGGUUUGCGUUUUUUAAAAUCUUGCCUCUGUGUGUGA